RNAcentral lists this ribosomal RNA (424 nucleotides) under uncultured bacterium. RNAcentral's name for it is "bacterial SSU rRNA". It matches the Rfam family "Bacterial small subunit ribosomal RNA", at positions 355 to 776 of the family's 1533-position model. The record is from RNAcentral.
UAAGGAAUAUUGGACAAUGGGCGCAAGCCUGAUCCAGCCAUGCCGCGUGAAGGAUGAAGGCCCUAUGGGUCGUAAACUUCUUUUAUACGGGACAAAACCCCUCGAUGCGUUGAGGGUUGAUGGUACUGUAAGAAUAAGGGUCGGCUAACUUCGUGCCAGCAGCCGCGGUAAUACGAAGGACCCGAGCGUUAUCCGGAUUUAUUGGGUUUAAAGGGUGCGUAGGCGGAUUAAUAAGUCAGUGGUGAAAGCCCGUCGCUUAACGGCGGAACUGCCAUUGAUACUGUUAGUCUUGAGUAUGGUUGAGGUGGGCGGAAUGUGUCAUGUAGCGGUGAAAUGCUUAGAUAUGACCCAGAACACCAAUUGCGAAGGCAGCUCGCUAAGCCAUAACUGACGCUGAUGCACGAAAGCGUGGGGAGCAAACAGG